Molecule: ribosomal RNA, 253 nt
Filed under: uncultured bacterium
Lineage: Bacteria
Description: partial 16S ribosomal RNA
Rfam family: Bacterial small subunit ribosomal RNA
Source: RNAcentral
UACGUAGGGUGCGAGCGUUGUCCGGAAUUAUUGGGCGUAAAGGGCUCGUAGGCGGUUUGUCACGUCAGGAGUGAAAACUCGGGGCUCAACCCCGAGCCUGCUUCUGAUACGGGCAGACUGGAGGUAUGCAGGGGAGAACGGAAUUCCUGGUGUAGCGGUGAAAUGCGCAGAUAUCAGGAGGAACACCGGUGGCGAAGGCGGGUCUCUGGGCCGAUACUGACGCUGAGGAGCGAAAGCGUGGGGAGCGAACAGG